CAGAUAAGAUUCCUAGUGAAGAUCACCAAGUACUUUAUAGGCAUUUCAUUCAGAGUUUAUCCAAAUUUCCUCAUGAGUCUGCUAGAUUGAAGAAGGCCUGUGAAGGAAUGAUAAACAUCUAUCCUACUGUACAGUAUCCAUUAGAAGUGCUUUGUUUGCAUUUAAUUGAAUCAGGAAAUCUUACUGAUGAGGGGCAGCAGUAUUGUUGUAGAUUAGUGGAAAUGGAUUCAAAAAGUGGUCCAGGCCUCAUUGGCUUAGGCAUUAAAGCAUUACAAGACAAAAAGUAUGAAGAUGCUGUUAGGAACCUAACAGAAGGGUUAAAGGAAAGCCCUGUCUGCACAAGUGGAUGGUAUCAUCUGGCAGAAGCCCAAGUCAAAAUGCAUAGACCUAAAGAAGCUGUUCUUUCAUGCAGUCAAGGUAUUUUUGAUACUUUUUGGGUUGACACAUAAGGGUGACCAACCCUAUUUGUUUUUAUCUUAAAGGACAAAGAUAGUGAUUUUAAAAACCAAAAUGCUAUAUUUUGUAUUUUAAAUUGCUAAUUUUAAUUUCAAUGAGGUUAAAUAAAAGUCUGCAUGCAUGUGU
RNAcentral lists this small RNA (582 nucleotides) under Pan troglodytes (chimpanzee). RNAcentral describes it as "retained intron". The record is from RNAcentral. Lineage: Eukaryota; Metazoa; Chordata; Mammalia; Primates; Hominidae.